Molecule: transfer-messenger RNA, 374 nt
Filed under: Lampropedia cohaerens
Lineage: Bacteria; Pseudomonadati; Pseudomonadota; Betaproteobacteria; Burkholderiales; Comamonadaceae
Description: Standard tmRNA
Rfam family: transfer-messenger RNA
About the family: Bacterial tmRNA, also known as 10Sa RNA or SsrA, is named for its dual tRNA and mRNA-like properties.
Source: Rfam by way of RNAcentral
GGGGCUGUCCUGGUUUCGACGCGGGUACAGAUCUGGAGUGGUGCAUGCCGAGCUUGAGUCACGCUCGUAAAUCUUGAUUCGAAAAACUAACUGCAAACGACGAUCGUUUCGCACUCGCCGCUUAAAUCCCGGUGAGACUUGCAACAGCUCGCUGAUGGGCUGGGUGAAGGCCGCAAGGCCGUAGCUGCAAGUUCAUUCACAUCAGCUGGUCGACAGCCGGGCAUCUUGGCUGCCGAUGAGAUCCAAGGAUGCUGGCCUUGCAAGCAGCGUGUGGCUGCGCGGCCUGCAAGGCGAGAUCAAAACAGACCACUAAGCAUGUAGAACUGCCCAGAAAAGGCUUGCGGACGCGGGUUCAAUUCCCGCCAGCUCCACCA